Molecule: ribosomal RNA, 747 nt
Filed under: uncultured bacterium
Lineage: Bacteria
Description: bacterial SSU rRNA
Rfam family: Bacterial small subunit ribosomal RNA
Source: RNAcentral
CUUAGAUGUGAUAUGGCUCAGAACGAACGCUGGCGGCAUGCUUAACACAUGCUAGUCGAACGCGUGUCGGGCUUCGGCCCGGCGCGAGUGGCGCACGGGUGAGUAGCGCGUGGGAACCUGCCCUGUUGUGGGGGAUAACCGAGGGAAACCUCGGCUAAUACCGCAUGAGCCGGAGAAAUCCGGGAAAGAUUUCUCGCGACAGGAGGGGCCCGCGUCGGAUUAGGUAGUUGGUGGGGUAACGGCCUACCUAGCCUGUGAUCCGUAGCUGGUCUGAGAGGAUGAUCAGCCACACUGGGACUGAGACACGGCCCAGACUCCUACGGGAGGCAGCAGUGGGGAAUAUUGGACAAUGGGCGAAAGCCUGAUCCAGCAAUGCCGCGUGAGUGAGGAAGGCCUUAGGGUUGUAAAGCUCUUUCGCACGCGACGAUGAUGACGGUAGCGUGAGAAGAAGCCCCGGCUAACUUCGUGCCAGCAGCCGCGGUAAUACGAAGGGGGCGAGCGUUGUUCGGAUUUACUGGGCGUAAAGGGCGCGUAUGCGGCCAUCUUUGUCACGCGUGAAAGCCCCGGGCUCAACCUGGGAACUGCGUCUGGGACGGGGUGGCUAGAGAUCGGGAGAGGAGCGUGGAAUUCCCAGUGUAGAGGUGAAAUUCGUAGAUAUUGGGAAGAACACCGGUGGCGAAGGCGGCGCUCUGGACCGACACUGACGCUGAGGCGCNGAAGCGUGGGGAGCAAACAGGAUUAGAUACC